GCAAUGAGGAAAACAGACGUUGCCUAAUUUUAUCCUUCAAGAAUAGGGAUGCGCAGAGUGGGAGAGAAUGCUAGGGUUACAGCCAAGGCAGCAAUCAGACAUUUUGAGGCCCUUUACAUAGUUCAAGGCCUGGGCCAUAGCUCCCCCCACCCCCCAAUAGUUACACUUGCAGGGUUAAGGGUAUUGUGAGUUGGCACCCAG
This is a non-coding RNA of Pelobates cultripes (western spadefoot toad), 201 nucleotides long. NCBI's taxonomy places the organism in Eukaryota, Metazoa, Chordata, Amphibia, Anura, Pelobatidae. The record is from the annotation of a GenBank genome assembly.